AACUCAGAACUUUGGAGAGGGAGGAGAGCUGAACUGAUCCAGCAGUUGGGAGCUGUCUUCUGUCUGGCACCAUAGACCAGAUAGGUAGCUCCAACUGGCUCCUUGAUCCAGUGAUCUUCUCUCUGUGAUUCCUGACCCAGAUCCCAGCAGAAGUCAAACUAAUUGGACAGGACUUUGGAAAGAAUCCCUAGACUGAACUAUUCUUCACAUCCCAUCCAGAUAUUGAUCUUGGCAUCUUUCCCACAGCAACUCUGCCUCUUGAUAAAGCCUGUGUUCCUUUUACUGUGUCCAACACAAACCAGACUUGUCAACUUGAAGUGAAAUCACUAGCAAAAAAUGAGGAGAAUUUGUAAAAUCAAGAGAGCAUAUGAAUACUGAGAAAUGGAGGUCAGCAUUUUGUUAAGGUAAAAAGAUUGAAACAAAGAGACAAAGUGAAAGAACAAAUUAAACCUUCCUGAAAGACCUGGAGAAACAGACUAUAAAGGAAAAAAGAAAAGAAGAAUGUGACUGUCCCUUUGUCAUGAUGUUUGUUGAAGGUCAUGCAUUAAUGAACUUGCAUUUUCCUAAAGGUAAUGGACAAA
This 581-nucleotide long non-coding RNA is filed under the name Monodelphis domestica (gray short-tailed opossum). RNAcentral describes it as "lncRNA (ENSMODG00000035384.2)". The record is from RNAcentral. Lineage: Eukaryota; Metazoa; Chordata; Mammalia; Didelphimorphia; Didelphidae.